This 459-nucleotide ribosomal RNA is filed under the name uncultured bacterium. RNAcentral describes it as "partial 16S ribosomal RNA". It matches the Rfam family "Bacterial small subunit ribosomal RNA", at positions 28 to 523 of the family's 1533-position model. The record is from RNAcentral.
GAUGAACGCUGGCGGCGUGCCUAAUACAUGCAAGUCGAGCGGUAAGGCCCCUUCGGAGGUACACGAGCGGCGGACGGCUGAGUAACGCGUAGGAACGUACCCCAAAGUGAGGGAUAAGCACCAGAAAUGGGGUCUAAUACCGCAUGUGAUCUAAGGAUUAAAGCUUCGGCGCUUUGGGAACGGCCUGCGUUCGAUUAGCUAGUUGGUGAGGUAAAAGCUUACCAAGGCGACGAUCGAUAGCUGGUCUGAGAGGAUGAUCAGCCAGACUGGGACUGAGACACGGCCCAGACUCCUACGGGAGGCAGCAGUAGGGAAUUUUCCACAAUGGGCGAAAGCCUGAUGGAGCAACGCCGCGUGCAGGAUGAAUGCCUUCGGGUUGUAAACUGCUUUUAUCUGUGACGAUUAUGACGGUAGCAUAUGAAUAAGGAUCGGCUAACUCCGUGCCAGCCGCCGCGGUAA